AUUGAACGCUGGCGGAAUGCUUUACACAUGCACGUCGAGCGGCAGCGCGGCCUUCGGGCUGGCGGCGAGCGGCGAACGGGUGAGUAAUGCAUCGGAACAUGCCCAGUCGUGGGGGAUAACACUUCGAAAGAAGUGCUAAUACCGCAUACGUCCUGAGGGGGGAAGCGGGGGAUCGCAAGACCUCGCGCGAUUGGAGUGGCCGAUGUCAGAUUAGCUAGUUGGUGGGGUAAAGGCCUACCAAGGCGACGAUCUGUAGCCGGUCUGAGAGGAUGAUCAGCCACACUGGGACUGAGACACGGCCCAGACUCCUACGGGAGGCAGCAGUGGGGAAUUUUGGACAAUGGGGGCAACCCUGAUCCAGCCAUUCCGCGUGAGUGAAGAAGGCCUUCGGGUUGUAAAGCUCUUUCGGCAGGAACGAAACGGUGGGCUCUAACAUAGUCCGCUAAUGACGGUACCUGAAGAAGAAGCACCGGCUAACUACGUG
RNAcentral lists this ribosomal RNA (484 nucleotides) under uncultured bacterium. Its description in RNAcentral is "partial 16S ribosomal RNA". It matches the Rfam family "Bacterial small subunit ribosomal RNA", at positions 29 to 507 of the family's 1533-position model. The record is from RNAcentral.